This 539-nucleotide ribosomal RNA is filed under the name Staphylococcus aureus. RNAcentral's name for it is "bacterial SSU rRNA". It matches the Rfam family "Bacterial small subunit ribosomal RNA", at positions 1 to 520 of the family's 1533-position model. The record is from RNAcentral. Lineage: Bacteria; Bacillati; Bacillota; Bacilli; Caryophanales; Staphylococcaceae.
AUUUUAUGGAGAGUUUGAUCCUGGCUCAGGAUGAACGCUGGCGGCGUGCCUAAUACAUGCAAGUCGAGCGAACGGACGAGAAGCUUGCUUCUCUGAUGUUAGCGGCGGACGGGUGAGUAACACGUGGAUAACCUACCUAUAAGACUGGGAUAACUUCGGGAAACCGGAGCUAAUACCGGAUAAUAUUUUGAACCGCAUGGUUCAAAAGUGAAAGACGGUCUUGCUGUCACUUAUAGAUGGAUCCGCGCUGCAUUAGCUAGUUGGUAAGGUAACGGCUUACCAAGGCAACGAUGCAUAGCCGACCUGAGAGGGUGAUCGGCCACACUGGAACUGAGACACGGUCCAGACUCCUACGGGAGGCAGCAGUAGGGAAUCUUCCGCAAUGGGCGAAAGCCUGACGGAGCAACGCCGCGUGAGUGAUGAAGGUCUUCGGAUCGUAAAACUCUGUUAUUAGGGAAGAACAUAUGUGUAAGUAACUGUGCACAUCUUGACGGUACCUAAUCAGAAAGCCACGGCUAACUACGUGCCAGCAGCCGCGG